Long non-coding RNA from Juglans regia (Persian walnut), 217 nucleotides. RefSeq lists it as uncharacterized. NCBI's taxonomy places the organism in Eukaryota, Viridiplantae, Streptophyta, Magnoliopsida, Fagales, Juglandaceae. The record is from RefSeq and is a predicted model, not a curated record. The transcript has 3 exons.
ACACAGUCCUUCGAAGCCUCCCUCCCAAACAGAGUCCUGCGUUUCGCAGCUUAGGGUUGAAAGUAUUGUUUUGAGUAUAAUAUCAAUGCUUUCCAGUCCUAAUGACGAAUCCCCUACAAAUGUUGAAGCAGCAAAGGAAUGGAGAGAUAGGAGAGAUGAUUUCAAGAAGAAGGUCAGCAGGUGUGUAAGAAAAUCACAAGAAAUGUUAUAAUCCAUC